UACGAAGGGGGCUAGCGUUGUUCGGAAUUACUGGGCGUAAAGCGCGUGUAGGCGGGUCUUUAAGUCAGGGGUGAAAUGCCAAGGCUCAACCUUGGAACUGCCUUUGAUACUGGAGAUCUUGAGUCCGGGAGAGGUGAGUGGAAUUGCGAGUGUAGAGGUGAAAUUCGUAGAUAUUCGGAAGAACACCAGUGGCGAAGGCGACUUACUGGACACAUAUUGACGCUGAGGUGCGAAAGCGUGGGGAGCAAACAGG
Molecule: ribosomal RNA, 253 nt
Filed under: uncultured bacterium
Lineage: Bacteria
Description: partial 16S ribosomal RNA
Rfam family: Bacterial small subunit ribosomal RNA
Source: RNAcentral